Punctularia strigosozonata HHB-11173 SS5 is the source of this 82-nucleotide non-coding RNA. Lineage: Eukaryota; Fungi; Basidiomycota; Agaricomycetes; Corticiales; Punctulariaceae. The record is from the annotation of a RefSeq genome assembly.
GGCUCAAUGGUCCAGAGGUACGAUACUUGCUUUGGGCGAAGCACAAUUGCAAGUGACCUGGGUUCGAUUCCCGGUUGGGCCC